Molecule: small nucleolar RNA, 235 nt
Filed under: Nicotiana sylvestris (wood tobacco)
Lineage: Eukaryota; Viridiplantae; Streptophyta; Magnoliopsida; Solanales; Solanaceae
Description: Plant small nucleolar RNA U3
Rfam family: Plant small nucleolar RNA U3
About the family: Small nucleolar RNAs (snoRNAs) are involved in the processing and modification of rRNA in the nucleolus. There are two main classes of snoRNAs: the box C/D class, and the box H/ACA class.
Source: Rfam by way of RNAcentral
ACGACCUUACUUGAACAGGAUCUGUUCUAUAGGCUAGUGGUACCACUGUAUCCUUGAGUUCUAAGGAGACAGAAAACCAAGUCUGACAGACUACUUAUUCUUUUUUGCUAUUUUUCCAGAAUUACUAUAACUUGAAAAUAACUAAGGACAUGGCCCUCGGGUCAUGGUGUAGUAGAUGAUCGUUCUCAGCUCCAACUAUGGUGCCUGGGAUGGUCUAAUGGCUGUCUGACAGACU